Molecule: unclassified non-coding RNA, 336 nt
Filed under: soil metagenome
Description: partial contains 5.8S ribosomal RNA, internal transcribed spacer 2, and large subunit ribosomal RNA
Rfam family: 5.8S ribosomal RNA (bases 1-120)
Source: RNAcentral
GAUGAAGAACGUAGCGAAAUGCGAUAAGGAGUGUGAAUUGCAGAAUUCAGUGAAUCAUCGAAUCUUUGAACGCACAUUGCGCCCCUUGGUAUUCCAUGGGGCAUGCCUGUUCGAGCGUCAUUUGUACCUUCAAGCUUUGCUUGGUGUUGGGUGUUUGUCUCGCCUUUGCGUGUAGACUCGCCUUAAAAUAAUUGGCAGCCGGCGUAUUGAUUUCGGAGCGCAGUACAUCUCGCGCUUUGCACUCAUAACGACAGCGUCCAAAAGUACAUUUUACACUCUUGACCUCGGAUCAGGUAGGGAUACCCGCUGAACUUAAGCAUAUCAAUAAGCGGAGGA